UACGAAGGGUGCAAGCGUUAAUCGGAAUUACUGGGCGUAAAGCGUGCGUAGGUGGUUUGUUAAGUCUGCUGUGAAAGCCCUGGGCUCAACCUGGGAAUGGCGGUGGAUACUGGCAAGCUAGAGUACGGUAGAGGAUGGUGGAAUUCCCGGUGUAGCGGUGAAAUGCGUAGAGAUCGGGAGGAACAUCAGUGGCGAAGGCGGCCAUCUGGACCAGUACUGACGCUGAGGCACGAAAGCGUGGGGAGCAAACAGG
RNAcentral lists this ribosomal RNA (253 nucleotides) under uncultured bacterium. RNAcentral's name for it is "partial 16S ribosomal RNA". It matches the Rfam family "Bacterial small subunit ribosomal RNA", at positions 524 to 776 of the family's 1533-position model. The record is from RNAcentral.